RNAcentral lists this transfer RNA (71 nucleotides) under Parcubacteria group bacterium. RNAcentral's name for it is "tRNA-Gly". It matches the Rfam family "tRNA". From Rfam's summary of the family: Transfer RNA (tRNA) molecules are approximately 80 nucleotides in length. Their secondary structure includes four short double-helical elements and three loops (D, anti-codon, and T loops). Further hydrogen bonds mediate the characteristic L-shaped molecular structure. tRNAs have two regions of fundamental functional importance: the anti-codon, which is responsible for specific mRNA codon recognition, and the 3' end, to which the tRNAs corresponding amino acid is attached (by aminoacyl-tRNA synthetases). tRNAs cope with the degeneracy of the genetic code in two manners: having more than one tRNA (with a specific anti-codon) for a particular amino acid; and 'wobble' base-pairing, i.e. permitting non-standard base-pairing at the 3rd anti-codon position. RNAcentral also lists the same sequence under 1 other name. The record is from RNAcentral.
GCGAGUGUAGCACAGUGGCAGUGCGCCUGCUUCCCAAGCAGGUUACGAGGGUUCGAUUCCCUUCACUCGCU